RNAcentral lists this ribosomal RNA (378 nucleotides) under uncultured Chrysophyceae. RNAcentral's name for it is "partial small subunit ribosomal RNA". It matches the Rfam family "Eukaryotic small subunit ribosomal RNA", at positions 30 to 432 of the family's 1831-position model. Lineage: Eukaryota; Chrysophyceae. The record is from RNAcentral.
GCUUGUCUCAAAGAUUAAGCCAUGCAUGUCUAAGUAUAAGCAUUAUACAGUGAAACUGCGAAUGGCUCAUUAUAUCAGUUAUAGUUUAUUUGAUAGUCACACUACUUGGAUAACCGUAGUAAUUCUAGAGCUAAUACAUGCACAAAGGCCCGACUCACGAAGGGCUGUAUUUAUUAGAUUUAAAGCCGACAUCUUUUGGUGAUUCAUAAUAACUUUCAGAUCGAUCGCAAGAUCGAUGCAUCAUUCAAGUUUCUGCCCUAUCAGCUUUGGAUGGUAGGGUAUUGGCCUACCAUGGCUUUAACGGGUAACGGAGAAUUAGGGUUCGAUUCCGGAGAGGGAGCCUGAGAGAUGGCUACCACAUCCAAGGAAGGCAGCAGG